RNAcentral lists this ribosomal RNA (497 nucleotides) under uncultured bacterium. RNAcentral describes it as "partial 16S ribosomal RNA". It matches the Rfam family "Bacterial small subunit ribosomal RNA", at positions 28 to 507 of the family's 1533-position model. The record is from RNAcentral.
GAUGAACGCUGGCGGCGUGCCUAAUACAUGCAAGUCGAGCGAACGGACGAGAAGCUUGCUUCUCUGAUGUUAGCGGCGGACGGGUGAGUAACACGUGGAUCACCUACCUAUAAGACUGGGAUAACUUCGGGAAACCGGAGCUUAUACCGGAUGAUCUUUUGAACCGCAUGGUUCAAAAGUGAAAGACGGUCUUGCUGUCACUUAUAGAUGGAUCCGCGCUGCAUUAGCUAGUUGGUAAGGUAACGGCUUACCAAGGCAACGAUGCAUAGCCGACCUGAGAGGGUGAUCGGCCACACUGGAACUGAGACACGGUCCAGACUCCUACGGGAGGCAGCAGUAGGGAAUCUUCCGCAAUGGGCGAAAGCCUGACGGAGCAACGCCGCGUGAGUGAUGAAGGUCUUCGGAUCGUAAAACUCUGUUAUUAGGGAAGAACAUAUGUGUAAGUAACUGUGCACAUCUUGACGGUACCUAAUCAGAAAGCCACGGCUAACUACGUG